GNAUUUAUUGGGCGUAAAGCGAGCGCNGGCGGUUAGAUAAGUCUGAAGUUAAAGGCUGUGGCUUAACCAUAGUACGCUUUAGAAACUGUUUAACUUGAGUGCAGAAGGGGAGAGUGGAAUUCCAUGUGUAGCGGUGAAACGCGUAGAUAUAUGGAGGAACACCGGUGGCGAAAGCGGCUCUCUGGUCUGUAACUGACGCUGAGGCUCGAAAGCGUGGGGAGCGAACAGGAUUAGAUACCCUGGUAGUNCACGCCGUAAACGAUGAGUGCUAGGUGUUAGGCCCUUUCCGGGGCUUAGUGCCGCAGCUAACGCAUUAAGCACUCCGCCUGGGGAGUACGACCGCAAGGUUGAAACUCAAAGGAAUUGACGGGGGCCCGCACAAGCGGUGGAGCAUGUGGUUUAAUUCGAAGCAACGCGAAGAACCUUACCAGGUCUUGACAUCCCGAUGCCCGCUCUAGAGAUAGAGUUUUACUUCGGUACAUCGGUGACAGGUGGUGCAUGGUUGUCGUCAGCUCGUGUCGUGAGAUGUUGGGUUNNNNNNNNCAACGAGCGCAACCCUUAUUGUUAGUUGCCAUCAUUCAGUUGGGCACUCUAGCGAGACUGCCGGUAAUAAACCGGAGGAAGGUGGGGAUGACGUCAAAUCAUCAUGCCCCUUAUGACCUGGGCUACACACGUGCUACAAUGGCUGGUACAACGAGUCGCAAGUCGGUGACGGCAAGCUAAUCUCUUAAAGCCAGUCUCAGUUCGGAUUGUAGGCUGCAACUCGCCUACAUGAAGUCGGAAUCGCUAGUAAUCGCGGAUCAGCACGCCGCGGUGAAUACGUUCCCGGGCCUU
This 834-nucleotide ribosomal RNA is filed under the name uncultured bacterium. Its description in RNAcentral is "bacterial SSU rRNA". It matches the Rfam family "Bacterial small subunit ribosomal RNA", at positions 547 to 1382 of the family's 1533-position model. The record is from RNAcentral.